This 74-nucleotide transfer RNA is filed under the name Eumeta japonica. It matches the Rfam family "tRNA". Rfam says of the family: Transfer RNA (tRNA) molecules are approximately 80 nucleotides in length. Their secondary structure includes four short double-helical elements and three loops (D, anti-codon, and T loops). The record is from Rfam by way of RNAcentral. Lineage: Eukaryota; Metazoa; Arthropoda; Insecta; Lepidoptera; Psychidae.
GGUCCAUUAGCUCAGUUGGUUAAAGCGUCGUGCUAAUAACGCGAAGGUCGCGGGUUCGAUCCUCUCAUGAGCCA